CGUGCUCAGAUUGUGACAGUACGUGCAUUCAGAUUGCAAGGAGAGCCUGUGUUAAUCAUCCCGUUUUCCAGUUGAGGAAAUGGAGGCCUGAGAGGUUUCAUGACAUGCCUAACACACACAGCUAGUGCACACACCUAAGCCAGGUGCUCCUGUCCCAUGAUUCCCGUGGACCCCGGCCAUGGUAGCUGGCCCCCACCCUGGCCAUGGACGAGGUCACCUUCAAAAGUGACACUGUGCUGUCAGACGUCCACCUCUACACCCCGAACCACAGACACCUCAUGGUGCGGCUGAACGGCAUGGGGCAGCCUGUUUUCCUGUCCCAGUUCAAGCUUCUGUGGAACCGAGACUCUCAGACAGACUCAGGGGCCGAGGGUGAUGGUCGUGGCGCUCUUCUCGCCGAGGAAACACCACCAUCCGGACCGGGCAGUGCCAGGCCCCCUCCAGGGAGUGGCCACAGUGACGCCACCAGCCAGGUGGGGCUGGGAACUCGGCUGGACGAAGACGGGGAUUUGGACGUGGAGAGGAGACCACCGACUGCUUCGGACCCCGAGCCAGCAGGGCCUCCGAGAGACAAGGUACAUCCCACGAUUCUAACGCAGGAGGAAGAGGACCCACUGGCAGAUGGAGCACGAGAGAGCAGCCCCUGGGAUAUCGUCAGAAUAGAGCACACCAUGGCCACCCCCCUGGAGGAUGUUGGCAAGCAGGUGUGGCGGGGUGCCCUGCUCCUGGCAGACUACAUCCUCUUUCAGCGGGACCUCUUCCAGGGCCGCACCGUGCUGGAGCUCGGGGCGGGCACGGGGCUGGCCAGCAUCAUUGCAGCCACUGUGGCACGCACGGUAUAUUGUACAGAUGUCGGCGCAGAUCUCCUGGCCAUGUGCCAGCGAAAUAUUGCCCUCAAUGGCCACCUGACUGCUGCUGGAGGCGGUGUGGUUAAGGUCAAAGAACUGGACUGGCUCCGCGACGACCUGUGCACAGACCCGGAGGUCCCCUUCAGCUGGUCGCAGGAGGAUGUCUCUGACCUGUACAGCCACACCACCAUCCUGCUUGCGGCCGAAGUGUUUUACGAUGAUGACCUAACCGACGCUCUGUUUAAAACCCUGUCCCGCCUCGCUCACAAGCUGCAGAACGCCUGCACGGCCAUUCUGUCUGUGGAGAAGCGGCUGAACUUCACACUCAGACACCUGGACGUCACAUGCGAGGCGUACGACCACUUCCGCUCCUGGCUGCGGCGGCUGGAGGGGCUCGCGGACGGCCGGCUGCGCUUCGCGGUGGAGCGGGUGGAGGCCUCCUUCCCGCAGCUCCUGGUUUACGAGCGCAUCCAGCAGCUGGUAGGUGCGGGCUGUCACUGCUGUGCGCGACGCCGCGGACCCAGGGCCCCCACACGCGGGCGCCGCACCCCGGUGCUGCCAGGGCAUCCUGAGGGGCCACCGUGUCUGCACGUGGGCCUGCGGGCCGUCUGUCGCCCUGGACUUACAGGGCGCUCUUUCCCUGCGGGCAGUUCCUGCUGCAGAGGAAGUGGGCCAAGCACAGGAGGCGGCUGGGGUGCAGGAAGUCCGCCGGGGGACACGUGGUGGGGUUCUCAUGCAGGAGCCCCAGUGCUGGAGGCCACACCUUCGCCAUGGACAUGGGCUGGCCUCCCAGACUGGGCAGGCUUGUCUAAUUGCCAGUGGCCCUUCCGACCAGGCCCGCUGGGUCCAUCAGACUAGGCCUCUGAGGAAGCCUCCCAGUAGCGGUACACGGGCCGGGUACCAGGCCGAGCUCCUUCCUCCCUGGCCUCAGUUGAUGCCGAGACCAGGAGCUCUGGAAGAUCUUUGUGGAACCGGUGAUGUGACCCACUGCAUCCCAAGCACGGCUUCUCGACUGUUCUUAGAGUACAUCUCUAAUAAAAUCAAAAG
RNA transcript from Herpailurus yagouaroundi (jaguarundi), 1895 nucleotides. It is a transcript of the gene named methyltransferase 22, Kin17 lysine, with no coding region annotated. The transcript has 12 exons. The record is from RefSeq and is a predicted model, not a curated record. NCBI's taxonomy places the organism in Eukaryota, Metazoa, Chordata, Mammalia, Carnivora, Felidae.